This 243-nucleotide ribosomal RNA is filed under the name uncultured bacterium. RNAcentral's name for it is "partial small subunit ribosomal RNA". It matches the Rfam family "Bacterial small subunit ribosomal RNA", at positions 26 to 285 of the family's 1533-position model. The record is from RNAcentral.
AGAAUCAACGCUGGCGGCGUGCCUAACACAUGCAAGUCGAACGAGAAAGUGGAGCAAUCCAUGAGUACAGUGGCGUACGGGUGAGUAACACGUGACUAACCUACCCUCGAGUGGGGAAUAACCUCGGGAAACCGGGCUAAUACCGCAUAACAUCUUCGGAUCAAAUGCGUAAGCAGCUUGAAGAGGGGUCGCGGCUGAUUAGCUAGUUGGCGGGGUAAUGGCCCACCAAGGCUUUGAUCGGUA